CAGGGCUAGGGCCCCAACUUUGUCUUUCAGCAAACUUCCAGCAAACAAAAUCCUCUCGCUUCCCCUCUUUGAUGAAUCCUUGCUUCACGGCGGUUCCUGAAGUUACAACAGUACAUGGGACCAUUAGUCCAAUCACCAACUAUCAACUCAAGCUGGAGGAAGACAAAUGAAGCUUUCUCCCUUUUUCCCUACACAACUUUAACACCACAAUUACAGACGUACACAUCAAGAUAUUCCCUGGGACCCAAACCUGAAGCCCCUGGGCUGCCCUUCCUCAGCGGGGCUGACUGGAGCAGUUACUGAUGGCACCAGCUUAAAGAGGAAAUGGAGAGUGUGUUUGCGUGUUUUCUGCCAUGAAAUAGGCAUCCUGAGACAAUCUCUUCAUAACUGAUGUAGCCCAGCCCUCUGUACUGAAAUUGCUGGACUCACACGAGGCCCAGAUGUGGUUUAAAGAGCAUGUGGGGGAAAUUUCCGUAGGAGCAACACAGAUCUCUCUAUUCAGAGUUUUUCUUGUGGGCAGCUUGCAUUUACUCAUUCUUUCAUUCCAGAAGUAUUUAUUUAGCCCCUGCUAUGUGCCAGGCAUUGUGAUAAUAGUUGGAAUGCAGAGGUGAAUUAAAGAGUAUGGGCUUGUCUAUAUAAAUAAAUAAAUAUAUAUGUAUAUGUGUGUGUAUA
Molecule: long non-coding RNA, 672 nt
Filed under: Homo sapiens (human)
Lineage: Eukaryota; Metazoa; Chordata; Mammalia; Primates; Hominidae
Description: HSALNT0195420
Source: RNAcentral